Molecule: ribosomal RNA, 1247 nt
Filed under: Candidatus Phytoplasma cynodontis
Lineage: Bacteria; Bacillati; Mycoplasmatota; Mollicutes; Acholeplasmatales; Acholeplasmataceae
Description: bacterial SSU rRNA
Rfam family: Bacterial small subunit ribosomal RNA
Source: RNAcentral
GGAAACAGUUGCUAAGACUGGAUAGGAAAUUAGAAGGCAUCUUUUAAUUUUUAAAAGACCUUUUUCGAAAGGUAUACUUAAAGAGGGGCUUGCGGCACAUUAGUUAGUUGGUAGGGUAAAAGCCUACCAAGACCAUGAUGUGUAGCUGGACUGAGAGGUUGAACAGCCACAUUGGGACUGAGACACGGCCCAAACUCCUACGGGAGGCAGCAGUAGGGAAUUUUCGGCAAUGGAGGAAACUCUGACCGAGCAACGCCGCGUGAACGAUGAAGUAUUUCGGUAUGUAAAGUUCUUUUAUUGAAGAAGAAAAAAUAGUGGAAAAACUAUCUUGACGAUAUUCAAUGAAUAAGCCCCGGCAAACUAUGUGCCAGCAGCCGCGGUAAUACAUAGGGGGCGAGCGUUAUCCGGAAUUAUUGGGCGUAAAGGGUGCGUAGGCGGUUUGGUAAGUCUAUAGUUUAAUUUCAGUGCUUAACACUGUUCUGCUAUAGAAACUAUCAGACUAGAGUGAGAUAGAGGCAAGUGGAAUUCCAUGUGUAGCGGUAAAAUGCGUAAAUAUAUGGAGGAACACCAGAGGCGUAGGCGGCUUGCUGGGUCUUUACUGACGCUGAGGCACGAAAGCGUGGGGAGCAAACAGGAUUAGAUACCCUGGUAGUCCACGCCGUAAACGAUGAGUACUAAGUGUCGGGGAAACUCGGUACUGAAGUUAACACAUUAAGUACUCCGCCUGAGUAGUACGUACGCAAGUAUGAAACUUAAAGGAAUUGACGGGACUCCGCACAAGCGGUGGAUCAUGUUGUUUAAUUCGAAGAUACACGAAAAACCUUACCAGGUCUUGACAUACUCUGCAAAGCUAUAGCAAUAUAGUGGAGGUUAUCAGGGAUACAGGUGGUGCAUGGUUGUCGUCAGCUCGUGUCGUGAGAUGUUAGGUUAAGUCCUAAAACGAGCGCAACCCUUGUCACUAGUUGCCAGCAUGUUAUGAUGGGCACUUUAGUGAGACUGCCAAUGAAAAAUUGGAGGAAGGUGAGGAUCACGUCAAAUCAUCAUGCCCCUUAUGAUCUGGGCUACAAACGUGAUACAAUGGCUGUUACAAAGAGUAGCUAAAACGCGAGUUUAUAGCCAAUCUCAUAAAAGCAGUCUCAGUUCGGAUUGAAGUCUGCAACUCGACUUCAUGAAGUUGGAAUCGCUAGUAAUCGCGAAUCAGCAUGUCGCGGUGAAUACGUUCACGGGGUUUGUACACACCGCCCGUC